AUUCGUCGACGUCUUCCGAAUCAUCAACGUCGCCGUUUCUGCUGCUGGUGGAGAAGCGACGGAUUGAGAGAAACGUUGUCAUCAUCAUGUGAAAUAGGUCCCGCCAGGACAUUGCGUCGGCAUCAUCA
Molecule: non-coding RNA, 128 nt
Organism: Caenorhabditis elegans
Lineage: Eukaryota; Metazoa; Nematoda; Chromadorea; Rhabditida; Rhabditidae
Source: Ensembl